ACGGGAGGCAGCAGUGAGGAAUAUUGGUCAAUGGGCGGAAGCCUGAACCAGCCAAGUCGCGUGAAGGAUGAAGGUAUUAUGUAUUGUAAACUUCUUAGACGUAGAGAAAUAAGCCCCUCGUGAGGGGUGAUGCUAGUAUACGUAGAAUAAGGAUCGGCUAACUCCGUGCCAGCAGCCGCGGUAAUACGGAGGAUCCGAGCGUUAUCCGGAUUUAUUGGGUUUAAAGGGUGCGCAGGCGGCUUUUUAAGUCAGUGGUUAAAUCGUGAGGCUCAACCUCAUCACGCCAUUGAUACUGGAGAGCUUGAUUGCGGUUGAGGUUGGCGGAAUUCGCCGUGUAGCGGUGAAAUGCAUAGAUAUGGCGAAGAACUCCGAUUGCGUAGGCAGCUGACCAAGCCGUAAAUGACGCUGAUGCUCGAAAGCGUGGGUAUCGAACAGGAUUAGAUACCCUGGUA
RNAcentral lists this ribosomal RNA (452 nucleotides) under uncultured Porphyromonadaceae bacterium. Its description in RNAcentral is "partial 16S ribosomal RNA". It matches the Rfam family "Bacterial small subunit ribosomal RNA", at positions 341 to 792 of the family's 1533-position model. The record is from RNAcentral. Lineage: Bacteria; Pseudomonadati; Bacteroidota; Bacteroidia; Bacteroidales; Porphyromonadaceae.